This 228-nucleotide long non-coding RNA is filed under the name Glycine max (soybean). RNAcentral's name for it is "long non-coding RNA (GMAX_LNC002741)". The record is from RNAcentral. Lineage: Eukaryota; Viridiplantae; Streptophyta; Magnoliopsida; Fabales; Fabaceae.
GCUGCAGGCGCUUUUGCAGGGGUGCAGGAGCUUGCUUUUCAGAAAAGGGAGUUGCAACUGCCAUUGGCGAGUUGCCUGCAAGUUGCAACUCCCAUUGGCGGGUUGCACAAGAAGAAAUAGCCAUCACCAAUGGCGAUUUGUUGGCUAUAAAUACCAGUGCUCACGUUUUGAACUUGAACUCACGUUUUCAGCUCCAAAUUAGAAAUAAAUCUUUCAUUGCUCACGGCU